This 519-nucleotide ribosomal RNA is filed under the name uncultured bacterium. RNAcentral's name for it is "bacterial SSU rRNA". It matches the Rfam family "Bacterial small subunit ribosomal RNA", at positions 791 to 1308 of the family's 1533-position model. The record is from RNAcentral.
UAGUCCACGCCGUAAACGAUGAACACUAGGUGGGUGCCUUUUUUGCGGGUGCCUGUCGUAGCGAAAGCGUUAAGUGUUCCGCCUGGGGAGUAUGGUCGCAAGGCUGAAACUCAAAGGAAUUGACGGGGGCUCACACAAGCGGUGGAGGAUGUGGUUUAAUUCGAAGCAACGCGAAGAACCUUACCAGGCCUUGACAUCCUGCGAAGUCCGCUGAAAGGCGGAUGUGCCUUCGGGAACGCAGUGACAGGUGCUGCGUGGCUGUCGUCAGCUCGUGCCGUGAGGUGUUAGGUUAAGUCCUUUAACGAGCGAAACCCCUAUUGUUAGUUGCCAGCACGUUAUGGUGGGGACUCUAGCAAGACUGCCGCGUUCAAGUUGGAGGAAGGUGGGGACGACGUCAAGUCGAUCAUGGCCCUUAUGGUCUGGGCUACACACGUCCUACAAUGGUCGGUACAAAGGGUUGCUAAGCCGUGAGGUGGAGCUAAUCCCAUAAAGCCGGCCCCAGUUCAGAUUGCAGGCUGC